This 253-nucleotide ribosomal RNA is filed under the name uncultured bacterium. Its description in RNAcentral is "partial 16S ribosomal RNA". It matches the Rfam family "Bacterial small subunit ribosomal RNA", at positions 524 to 776 of the family's 1533-position model. The record is from RNAcentral.
UACGAAGGGGGCUAGCGUUGCUCGGAAUCACUGGGCGUAAAGCGCACGUAGGCGGCUUUCUAAGUCAGGGGUGAAAUCCUGGAGCUCAACUCCAGAACUGCCUUUGAUACUGGAGAGCUUGAGUCCGGGAGAGGUGAGUGGAACUCCGAGUGUAGAGGUGAAAUUCGUAGAUAUUCGCAAGAACACCAGUGGCGAAGGCGGCUCACUGGCCCGGUACUGACGCUGAGGCACGAAAGCGUGGGGAGCAAACAGG